CGCCCUUAGAGUUUGAUCCUGCUCAGAACGAACGCUGGCCGCAGGCCUUAUACAUGCAAGUCGAGCGCAUCCUUCGGGAUGAGCGGCGGACGGGUGAGUAACGCGUGGGAAUGUGCCCUUCUCUACGGAAUAGCCACUGGAAACGGUGAGUAAUACCGUAUACGCCCUCAGGGGGAAAGAUUUAUCGGAGAAGGAUCAGCCCGCGUUAGAUUAGGUAGUUGGUGGGGUAACGGCCUACCAAGCCUACGAUCUAUAGCUGGUUUUAGAGGAUGAUCAGCCACACUGGGACUGAGACACGGCCCAGACUCCUACGGGAGGCAGCAGUAGGGAAUCUUGGACAAUGGGGGCAACCCUGAUCCAGCCAUGCCGCGUGAGUGAAGAAGGCCCUAGGGUCGUAAAGCUCUUUCGCCUGUGAUGAUAAUGACCGUAGCAGGUACAGAAACCCCGGCUAACUCCGUGCCAGCAGCCGCGGUACUACGGAGGGGGUCAGCGUCGUUCGGAAUUACUGGGCGUAAAGCGCGCGUAGGCGGA
Molecule: ribosomal RNA, 531 nt
Filed under: uncultured bacterium
Lineage: Bacteria
Description: bacterial SSU rRNA
Rfam family: Bacterial small subunit ribosomal RNA
Source: RNAcentral